Molecule: long non-coding RNA, 788 nt
Organism: Humulus lupulus (European hop)
Lineage: Eukaryota; Viridiplantae; Streptophyta; Magnoliopsida; Rosales; Cannabaceae
Exons: 2
Source: RefSeq, a predicted model, not a curated record
UGUAAAAAAAUGUCCUACUAAAAUAGUGACCUUAUAACUUCACCCUUUGUCUAAGCAAAAUAAAACACCCCAAUACAAACAAAACCCAUUAAUUUCUUCUUAUUCUCAUUCUCAUUCUUCUCUGUCUUAUUAUUAUUAGUAGUAUCUUCUUCUUCUAUUUUCCAUAGCACGUUCACCUACAUGAGAGCCACAUCCAUUUGUCCAAAUGGGGUGGCUCCAAUCCCUCUUCUCUCCGUUGAAGAAGCUCUGGUUUCGUCUCCACUCUGCUCCAAAGAAAAGAAGAGGGAUUUAUAUUCUAUACGAAGAUGUGAAGUCGUGCCCCUAUGAAGAUGUUCAUGUUCUAUGGUCGAUUCUAGUGGAAUCACAUGCUUUGCCGACAAAAGCUUGAAGCCUUCAAAUGCAGAGAUUCUCUGGCCAUCCAUGUACAUACAUUUAUUUAUAAAUCUCUUAUUAUAUAUCAUACUUAGUAUAUAUAUAAAUAUAUUAUAUACUAUAUGAAAAGGGUUUUUCCAAUCACUACUUCUCUUGAGUUUUCUUGUGAUUGUUAGUGAGGUUUGUUUUAGAAUCUUACACUUUCACAUAAUCAAAUGUUGAGAUGAAACUUUAGUUACCAAAAGCAAAGAAAAGUAAAAAAAGAAAGCAUUAUACGUUUGGUUUUUAAUUAAUCCAUAUUUAAAUAUAGCUUCUUAUUUGUUGUUCUGUCUAUUUUUAGCUGUUGUGCUGGCUUUUUUGCCAUUUGACUUGGUGUUCGUGACUUGUGUAUGGGUCUUAUUUUUUUGGUUAAUUAA